Molecule: long non-coding RNA, 297 nt
Filed under: Bos taurus (domestic cattle)
Lineage: Eukaryota; Metazoa; Chordata; Mammalia; Artiodactyla; Bovidae
Description: long non-coding RNA NONBTAT025347
Source: RNAcentral
GUCUUGUUCCCUUCUUUCACCCAUGGAUAAGCAGUGAGAAGCUAUGAUGGGUUUUAAGUUCUUGGUUAUCUUUGGAUAACAAAACAAAAAGAGGGUUUCACCCAGUCCAAAAAUGGCUUCUGUGACUGAUGAAGUUCAGUUGUUGUUGGAAUGAUGGAAAAUGUUUCAAGAGCAGGCAGUACCCAGGCUCUGGUCAUCACUGAGAGGUGUGCAGCCCUGGAGUAAACACAUGUUUAGAAUAGAAACAAAAGAGUAGUCCCUGCCCUAAAGGCACUUCCACAUUUGGAUAAAGUCGGU